AUGGAGCUUGUGGUGGGUGCUUCGGAAGCCACCCUGAAUUCUCUCGUAAGCAAGCUGGGCGCCCUCCUUGCCCAGGAGUAUUCUUUGAUCCGUGGCGUCCGCGGCGACGUACAGUACAUCAGUGACGAGCUUGCCAGCAUGCAGGCCUUCCUUGGUGACCUCGGCUCUGCCCGUGGCGCCCAUGACCGCCGGCUUAAGGACUGGAUGAAGCAAGUCCGUGACAUGGCAUAUGACAUGGAAGACUGCGUCGACGACUUCACCCACCGACUCCCACAUGACACCCUGAGUGAUAUCAGAUACUGCUCCUUCUUAAUGAUGACAAUCCACGAGCUGCGGACAUGGUGGCCUCGCCGUCAAAUUGCUUCCAAGAUUGCUGAGCUCAAGGUUCGGGCGCAACAUAUUGCUGAACGGCGCACCAGAUAUGGAGUCAACAAUCCAGAACCAAAACAAGGCGAU
Molecule: ribosomal RNA, 456 nt
Filed under: Triticum aestivum (bread wheat)
Lineage: Eukaryota; Viridiplantae; Streptophyta; Magnoliopsida; Poales; Poaceae
Description: partial small subunit ribosomal RNA
Source: RNAcentral